CAAGUACUCCCUCCGUCUGAAAAAGCUUGUCUCUCAAGUCUCAAAUGAAUGUAUCUAGCACCAAGUUAGUGCUAGAUACAUCCAUUUGAGGGACAAGUUCGGGACAAGUUUUUUCAGAGGAGGGAGUAGUGA
Molecule: non-coding RNA, 132 nt
Organism: Triticum aestivum (bread wheat)
Lineage: Eukaryota; Viridiplantae; Streptophyta; Magnoliopsida; Poales; Poaceae
Source: Rfam